Molecule: long non-coding RNA, 128 nt
Organism: Sphaeramia orbicularis (orbiculate cardinalfish)
Lineage: Eukaryota; Metazoa; Chordata; Actinopteri; Kurtiformes; Apogonidae
Exons: 3
Source: RefSeq, a predicted model, not a curated record
AAUGUAAAUAUCAGGGUUCAUUAAGAUUAAAGUGUAUAUUGUGUUGUGAAAUAUGACCGUAGUGCACACUAUGUUCUAUGAACAAAGCAAGCAGUCCUAUGGAGCAGGAAUAUAGCAAUUCAGAGAAG